GGUUAAGCGACUAAGCGUACACGGUGGAUGCCCCUGGCAGUCAGAGGCGAUGAAGGACGUGCUAAUCUGCGAUAAGCGUCGGUAAGGUGAUAUGAACCGUUAUAACCGGCGAUUUCCGAAUGGGGAAACCCAGUGUGUUUCGACACACUAUCAUUAACUGAAUCCAUAGGUUAAUGAGGCGAACCGGGGGAACUGAAACAUCUAAGUACCCCGAGGAAAAGAAAUCAACCGAGAUUCCCCCCAGUAGCGGCGAGCGAACGGGGAGGAGCCCAGAGCCUGAAUCAGUGUGUGUGUUAGUGGAAGCGUCUGGAAAGGCGCGCGAUACAGGGUGACAGCCCCGUACACAAAAAUGCACAUGCUGUGAGCUCGAUGAGUAGGGCGGGACACGUGGUAUCCUGUCUGAAUAUGGGGGGACCAUCCUCCAAGGCUAAAUACUCCUGACUGACCGAUAGUGAACCAGUACCGUGAGGGAAAGGCGAAAAGAACCCCGGCGAGGGGAGUGAAAAAGAACCUGAAACCGUGUACGUACAAGCAGUGGGAGCACAGAGCAAUCUGUGUGACUGCGUACCUUUUGUAUAAUGGGUCAGCGACUUAUAUUCUGUAGCAAGGUUAACCGAAUAGGGGAGCCGAAGGGAAACCGAGUCUUAACUGGGCGUUAAGUUGCAGGGUAUAGACCCGAAACCCGGUGAUCUAGCCAUGGGCAGGUUGAAGGUUGGGUAACACUAACUGGAGGACCGAACCGACUAAUGUUGAAAAAUUAGCGGAUGACUUGUGGCUGGGGGUGAAAGGCCAAUCAAACCGGGAGAUAGCUGGUUCUCCCCGAAAGCUAUUUAGGUAGCGCCUCGUGAAUUCAUCUCCGGGGGUAGAGCACUGUUUCGGCAAGGGGGUCAUCCCGACUUACCAACCCGAUGCAAACUGCGAAUACCGGAGAAUGUUAUCACGGGAGACACACGGCGGGUGCUAACGUCCGUCGUGAAGAGGGAAACAACCCAGACCGCCAGCUAAGGUCCCAAAGUCAUGGUUAAGUGGGAAACGAUGUGGGAAGGCCCAGACAGCCAGGAUGUUGGCUUAGAAGCAGCCAUCAUUUAAAGAAAGCGUAAUAGCUCACUGGUCGAGUCGGCCUGCGCGGAAGAUGUAACGGGGCUAAACCAUGCACCGAAGCUGCGGCAGCGACACUGUGUGUUGUUGGGUAGGGGAGCGUUCUGUAAGCCUGUGAAGGUGUGCUGUGAGGCAUGCUGGAGGUAUCAGAAGUGCGAAUGCUGACAUAAGUAACGAUAAAGCGGGUGAAAAGCCCGCUCGCCGGAAGACCAAGGGUUCCUGUCCAACGUUAAUCGGGGCAGGGUGAGUCGACCCCUAAGGCGAGGCCGAAAGGCGUAGUCGAUGGGAAACAGGUUAAUAUUCCUGUACUUGGUGUUACUGCGAAGGGGGGACGGAGAAGGCUAUGUUGGCCGGGCGACGGUUGUCCCGGUUUAAGCGUGUAGGCUGGUUUUCCAGGCAAAUCCGGAAAAUCAAGGCUGAGGCGUGAUGACGAGGCACUACGGUGCUGAAGCAACAAAUGCCCUGCUUCCGAGGAAAAGCCUCUAAGCAUCAGGUAACAUCAAAUCGUACCCCAAACCGACACAGGUGGUCAGGUAGAGAAUACCAAGGCGCUUGAGAGAACUCGGGUGAAGGAACUAGGCAAAAUGGUGCCGUAACUUCGGGAGAAGGCACGCUGAUAUGUAGGUGAAGUCCCUCGCGGAUGGAGCUGAAAUCAGUCGAAGAUACCAGCUGGCUGCAACUGUUUAUUAAAAACACAGCACUGUGCAAACACGAAAGUGGACGUAUACGGUGUGACGCCUGCCCGGUGCCGGAAGGUUAAUUGAUGGGGUCAGCGCAAGCGAAGCUCUUGAUCGAAGCCCCGGUAAACGGCGGCCGUAACUAUAACGGUCCUAAGGUAGCGAAAUUCCUUGUCGGGUAAGUUCCGACCUGCACGAAUGGCGUAAUGAUGGCCGGGCUGUCUCCACCCGAGACUCAGUGAAAUUGAACUCGCUGUGAAGAUGCAGUGUACCCGCGGCAAGACGGAAAGACCCCGUGAACCUUUACUAUAGCUUGACACUGAACAUUGAGCCUUGAUGUGUAGGAUAGGUGGGAGGCUUUGAAGUGUGGACGCCAGUCUGCAUGGAGCCGACCUUGAAAUACCACCCUUUAAUGUUUGAUGUUCUAACGUGGACCCGUGAUCCGGGUUGCGGACAGUGUCUGGUGGGUAGUUUGACUGGGGCGGUCUCCUCCUAAAGAGUAACGGAGGAGCACGAAGGUUGGCUAAUCCUCGGUCGGACAUCAGGAGGUUAGUGCAAUGGCAUAAGCCAGCUUGACUGCGAGCGUGACGGCGCGAGCAGGUGCGAAAGCAGGUCAUAGUGAUCCGGUGGUUCUGAAUGGAAGGGCCAUCGCUCAACGGAUAAAAGGUACUCCGGGGAUAACAGGCUGAUACCGCCCAAGAGUUCAUAUCGACGGCGGUGUUUGGCACCUCGAUGUCGGCUCAUCACAUCCUGGGGCUGAAGUAGGUCCCAAGGGUAUGGCUGUUCGCCAUUUAAAGUGGUACGCGAGCUGGGUUUAGAACGUCGUGAGACAGUUCGGUCCCUAUCUGCCGUGGGCGCUGGAGAACUGAGGGGGGCUGCUCCUAGUACGAGAGGACCGGAGUGGACGCAUCACUGGUGUUCGGGUUGUCAUGCCAAUGGCACUGCCCGGUAGCUAAAUGCGGAAGAGAUAAGUGCUGAAAGCAUCUAAGCACGAAACUUGCCCCGAGAUGAGUUCUCCCUGACCCUUUAAGGGUCCUGAAGGAACGUUGAAGACGACGACGUUGAUAGGCCGGGUGUGUAAGCGCAGCGAUGCGUUGAGCUAACCGGUACUAAUGAACCGUGAGGCUUAACCUU
Molecule: ribosomal RNA, 2909 nt
Filed under: Escherichia coli
Lineage: Bacteria; Pseudomonadati; Pseudomonadota; Gammaproteobacteria; Enterobacterales; Enterobacteriaceae
Description: 23S ribosomal RNA
Rfam family: Bacterial large subunit ribosomal RNA
Source: RNAcentral